AAGCCGUAACAAGGUUUCCGUAGGUGAACCUGCGGAAGGAUCAUUACCGUGGAGCUUCGGCUCCAUUGAGAUAGCACCCUUUGUUUAUGAGUACCCUUGUUUCCUCGGCGGGCUCGCCCGCCAGUAGGACAUUAUAAAACCCCGUUUGUAGUAGCAGUAACUACAGUUAAAAAGCAAAUAUUAAAA
RNAcentral lists this unclassified non-coding RNA (186 nucleotides) under plant metagenome. RNAcentral describes it as "partial contains small subunit ribosomal RNA and internal transcribed spacer 1". The stretch from base 1 to 46 matches the Rfam family "Eukaryotic small subunit ribosomal RNA", at positions 1786 to 1831 of the family's 1831-position model. The record is from RNAcentral.